RNAcentral lists this ribosomal RNA (536 nucleotides) under uncultured bacterium. RNAcentral's name for it is "bacterial SSU rRNA". It matches the Rfam family "Bacterial small subunit ribosomal RNA", at positions 8 to 555 of the family's 1533-position model. The record is from RNAcentral.
AGAGUUUGAUUAUGGCUCAAGAUGAACGCUGGCGGCGUGCUUAACACAUGCAAGUCGAACGGACUCAUAUUGAAACCUAGUGAUGUAUGAGUUAGUGGCGGACGGGUGAGUAACGCGUGGAGAACCUGCCGUAUACUGGGGGAUAACACUUAGAAAUAGGUGCUAAUACCGCAUAAGCGCACGGCUUCGCAUGAAGCAGUGUGAAAAACUCCGGUGGUAUACGAUGGAUCCGCGUCUGAUUAGCUGGUUGGCGGGGUAAAGGCCCACCAAGGCGACGAUCAGUAGCCGGCCUGAGAGGGUGAACGGCCACAUUGGGACUGAGACACGGCCCAAACUCCUACGGGAGGCAGCAGUGGGGAAUAUUGCACAAUGGGGGAAACCCUGAUGCAGCGACGCCGCGUGAGUGAAGAAGUAUUUCGGUAUGUAAAGCUCUAUCAGCAGGGAAGAAAAUGACGGUACCUGACUAAGAAGCCCCGGCUAACUACGUGCCUGCAGCCGCGGUAAUACGUAUGGGGCAAGCGUUAUCCGGAUUUACU